GCUGGGUGCAGUGGUGCAUGCCUGUAAUCUCAGCAGCUCAGGAGGCUGAGGCAGAGGGAUGGUGAGUUCAAAGCCAGCCUCAGCAACUUAGUGAGGCCCUAUGAAACUUAGCAAGACCCUGUCUCUA
RNAcentral lists this small RNA (127 nucleotides) under Marmota monax (woodchuck). Lineage: Eukaryota; Metazoa; Chordata; Mammalia; Rodentia; Sciuridae. The record is from RNAcentral.